This 494-nucleotide ribosomal RNA is filed under the name uncultured bacterium. RNAcentral describes it as "partial 16S ribosomal RNA". It matches the Rfam family "Bacterial small subunit ribosomal RNA", at positions 28 to 507 of the family's 1533-position model. The record is from RNAcentral.
GACGAACGCUGGCGGCGCGCUUAUCACAUGCAAGUCGAACGGAAAGGCCUGCUUUCCCUUGUGGAUUGCGGGUACUCGAGUGGCGAACGGGUGAGUAACACGUGAGUGAUCUGCCCCCAACUUGGGUAUAAGCCUGGGAAACUGGGUCUAAUUCCCGAUAGGACUGCAGGGUGGUGCCUGUGGUGGAAAACGAUUUUCUAGUGGUUGGGGAUGAGCUCGCGGCCUAUCAGCUUGUUGGUGGGGUAAUGGCCUACCAAGGCGGCGACGGGUAGCCGGCCUGAGAGGGUGGACGGCCACAUUGGGACUGAGAUACGGCCCAGACUCCUACGGGAGGCAGCAGUGGGGAAUAUUGCACAAUGGGCGGAAGCCUGAUGCAGCGACGCCGCGUGGGGGAUGACGGCCUUCGGGUUGUAAACUCCUUUCGACCGCGAGGAAGCCACCUGGUUGGAAGGGUGGUGACGGUAGUGGUAGAAGAAGCACCGGCUAACUACGUG